GCAAGUCGAGCGGACAGAUGGGAGCUUGCUCCCUGAUGUUAGCGGCGGACGGGUGAGUAACACGUGGGUAACCUGCCUGUAAGACUGGGAUAACUCCGGGAAACCGGGGCUAAUACCGGAUGGUUGUUUGAACCGCAUGGUUCAGACAUAAAAGGUGGCUUCGGCUACCACUUACAGAUGGACCCGCGGCGCAUUAGCUAGUUGGUGAGGUAACGGCUCACCAAGGCGACGAUGCGUAGCCGACCUGAGAGGGUGAUCGGCCACACUGGGACUGAGACACGGCCCAGACUCCUACGGGAGGCAGCAGUAGGGAAUAUUCCGCAAUGGACGAAAGUCUGACGGAGCAACGCCGCGUGAGUGAUGAAGGUUUUCGGAUCGUAAAGCUCUGUUGUUAGGGAAGAACAAGUGCCGUUCAAAUAGGGCGGCACCUUGACGGUACCUAACCA
Molecule: ribosomal RNA, 446 nt
Filed under: Bacillus subtilis group sp.
Lineage: Bacteria; Bacillati; Bacillota; Bacilli; Caryophanales; Bacillaceae
Description: bacterial SSU rRNA
Rfam family: Bacterial small subunit ribosomal RNA
Source: RNAcentral